GUGAGGAAUAUUGCACAAUGGGCGAAAGCCUGAUGCAGCAACGCCGCGUGAGUGAUGAAGGCCUUUGGGUCGUAAAACUCUGUCCUUGGGGAAGAAAAAAAUGACGGUACCCUUGGAGGAAGCCCCGGCUAACUACGUGCCAGCAGCCGCGGUAAUACGUAGGGGGCGAGCGUUAUCCGGAAUUAUUGGGCGUAAAGAGUGCGUAGGUGGUUUUGUAAGCGUAGGGUGAAAGGCAGUAGCUCAACUAUUGUUAGCCCUGCGAACUGUGAGACUUGAGUGCAGGAGAGGAAAGUGGAAUUCCUAGUGUAGCGGUGAAAUGCGUAGAUAUUAGGAGGAACACCAGUGGCGAAGGCAGCUUUCCGGGGUACAUCUGACGCUGAAGCUCGAAAGUGCGGGAAUCAAACAGGAUUAGAAACCCUGGUAGUCC
RNAcentral lists this ribosomal RNA (427 nucleotides) under uncultured bacterium. RNAcentral describes it as "partial 16S ribosomal RNA". It matches the Rfam family "Bacterial small subunit ribosomal RNA", at positions 354 to 796 of the family's 1533-position model. The record is from RNAcentral.